UAAACGUCCCACGCUCGGAUUGCAGUCUGCAACUCGACUGCAUGAAGCUGGAAUCGCUAGUAAUCGCGAAUCAGCAUGUCGCGGUGAAUACGUUCCCGGGUCUUGUACACACCGCCCGUCACACCAUGGGAGUCGGAAAUGCCCGAAGCCGGUGACCCAACCAAAAGGAGGGAGCCGUCGAAGGCAGGUCUGAUAACUGGGGUGAAGUCGUAACAAGGUAAC
RNAcentral lists this ribosomal RNA (222 nucleotides) under uncultured bacterium. RNAcentral describes it as "partial 16S ribosomal RNA". It matches the Rfam family "Bacterial small subunit ribosomal RNA", at positions 1279 to 1500 of the family's 1533-position model. The record is from RNAcentral.